UGCCAGCAGCCGCGGUAAUACGGAGGGUGCAAGCGUUGCUCGGAAUUACUGGGCGUAAAGCGUGCGUAGGCGGACCUUCAAGUCGGGUGUGAAAGCCCGGAGCUCAACUCCGGAACGGCAUCCGAUACUGUUGGUCUAGAGUACCGGAGAGGGAAGCGGAAUUCCAGGAGUAGCGGUGAAAUGCGUAGAUAUCUGGAAGAACACCCGUGGCGAAAGCGGCUUCCUGGACGGAUACUGACGCUGAGGCACGAAAGCGUGGGGAGCAAACAGGAUUAGAUA
RNAcentral lists this ribosomal RNA (279 nucleotides) under uncultured bacterium. RNAcentral's name for it is "partial 16S ribosomal RNA". It matches the Rfam family "Bacterial small subunit ribosomal RNA", at positions 506 to 784 of the family's 1533-position model. The record is from RNAcentral.